UGGGGAAUAUUGCACAAUGGGCGCAAGCCUGAUGCAGCCAUGCCGCGUGUGUGAAGAAGGCCUUCGGGUUGUAAAGCACUUUCAGCGAGGAGGAAGGUGGUGAGCUUAAUACGCUCAUCAAUUGACGUUACUCGCAGAAGAAGCACCGGCUAACUCCGUGCCAGCAGCCGCGGUAAUACGGAGGGUGCAAGCGUUAAUCGGAAUUACUGGGCGUAAAGCGCACGCAGGCGGUUUGUUAAGUCAGAUGUGAAAAUCCCCGGGCUCAACCUGGGAACUGCAUUUGAAACUGGCAAGCUAGAGUCUCGUAGAGGGGGGUAGAAUUCCAGGUGUAGCGGUGAAAUGCGUAGAGAUCUGGAGGAAUACCGGUGGCGAAGGCGGCCCCCCUGGACGAAGACUGACGCUCAGGUGCGAAAGCGUGGGGCAGCAAACAGGAUUAGAUACCCUGGUAGUCCAGCGCUGUAAACGAUGUCGAUUUGGAGGUUGUGCCCUUGAGGCGUGGCUUCCGGAGCUAACGCGUUAAAUCGACCGCCUGGGGAGUACGGCCGCAAGGUUAAAACU
Molecule: ribosomal RNA, 558 nt
Filed under: uncultured bacterium
Lineage: Bacteria
Description: partial 16S ribosomal RNA
Rfam family: Bacterial small subunit ribosomal RNA
Source: RNAcentral